RNAcentral lists this ribosomal RNA (300 nucleotides) under uncultured Lactobacillus sp. Its description in RNAcentral is "bacterial SSU rRNA". It matches the Rfam family "Bacterial small subunit ribosomal RNA", at positions 496 to 795 of the family's 1533-position model. The record is from RNAcentral. Lineage: Bacteria; Bacillati; Bacillota; Bacilli; Lactobacillales; Lactobacillaceae.
GCGUGACCCGGGUCCGCGGCCGUGUGAAGAGGUAUGGGGCGAGCGUUGUGCGGAUUUAUUGGGCGGUAAGCGUGCGCAGGCGGUUUUAUAAGACGGAUGUGAAAGCCCCGGGCUCAACCUGGGAACUGCAGUUGUGACUGGAUAGCUAGAGUACGGCAGAGGGGGAUGGAAUUCCGCGUGUAGCAGUGAAAUGCGUAGAUAUGCGGAGGAACACCGAUGGCGAAGGCAAUCCCCUGGGCCUGUACUGACGCUCAUGCACGAAAGCGUGGGGAGCAAACAGGAUUAGAUACCCUGGUAGUC